This 231-nucleotide ribosomal RNA is filed under the name uncultured bacterium. RNAcentral describes it as "partial 16S ribosomal RNA". It matches the Rfam family "Bacterial small subunit ribosomal RNA", at positions 99 to 334 of the family's 1533-position model. The record is from RNAcentral.
CGGACGGGUGAGUAAUGUAUAGGAACUUGCCUAGUAGUGGGGGACAACGUGUGGAAACGCACGCUAAUACCGCAUACGCUCUACGGAGGAAAGCGGGGGAUCUUCGGACCUCGUGCUACUAGAUGGGCCUAUAUUGGAUUAGCUGUUGGUAAGGUAAAGGCUUACCAAGGCGACGAUCCAUAGCUGGUUUGAGAGAAUGAUCAGCCACACUGGGACUGAGACACGGCCCAG